GUAUAUAUUAAUGAUGUUAAUUUGCAACAUAAUUUUAUAUGGCGAUUGGUCGUAUCAAUAUUCUCUUGGUACUUACACUGGGUAUCAUUCAAGUCGCUAAAAGGCAUCUGAUAUGACUUUUACGACUACCGCCACCUGGCGGAAAAUCGUCGUGCAGAAAUUUGUGGAGGGGUGUGAAACCAGUGUGAAUAUGCAAGUUAAAAAGGAAGAAAAAUAUUUUGUGUAUUAUAUAAUGAGUAGGGGCAGGUAGAUAAUGGGCAUACUAACAAAAUAUUAUUUCGUAAUGGAGAUUCGUUUAUGCUGACUGUGCAACUGUCUAAUAUUCAUUCGAAUUGUAUCAGUUAUGAUAUCAAGAAUUGGUUGACAUCUCCGAUGUUUCUCUAUACACGACGACCUCGGUGGCGCAGUGGUAAAGUUCUUGCCACUGAACCGAGAGGUCCCGGGUUCGAUCCCCGGUCGAGUCAUGAUGGAAAAUGAAACUUUUUCUGAUUGGCCCGGGUCUUGGAUGUUUAUCUAUAUGUGUAUUUGUUAUAAAAUAUAGUAUCGUUGAGUUAGUAUCCCAUAGCAUAAGUCUCGAACUUACUUUGGGGCUAGCUCAAUCUGUGUCAUUUGUCCUAAUAUAUUUAUUUAUAUAGGUACCUACUAUACGAUAGUACAUACUAUAUACUAAUAUAAAUGUGAAAGUAAGAUUGUUUGUGUAUUAGUCUAUUUGUUACCUUUUCGAGCUCUAUCUCCUCAACCAAUCUUCUUGAAAUUUUGCAUACAUGUAGUUUAAAGUAUGUAGAAGGACGUAGGGGUACUUAGGUACCUACCUUUAAUCUCGGAAAAUAACUAUUUACGUGGGCAAAAGCUAUUAUGUAAUAAAACAUAUUAUCGUUGUGUUAGUACCGUAUCACAAAACUCAAGUCUCGAACUUACUUUAGGGCUAGCUCAAUCAGUGUGAUUUGUUCUAAUUUAUUUAUUUAUGAUAAGAAUAAGAGUCGAUAGAUGCUAUUAAAUAAUGAUUACUUUAUUCAAAUAUUUCAGACCUUUUAGCACCUCUGAUGAGAUAUAAAAUGGAAUAUAGUGUGACUUGGAGGCCACAAUUUUGUAUAAAAUCACAUGUCAUAUCAACGCCAUGUUUUAGUUCAACCACAGAUUAUACAAUACUAACUAGUUCAACUAAUCGUGGAGGGAUUGCAGAAACCACCACAGAGGGGAGCUAUACAAAUUCAAAUGUUAGUAAUGUAACUAGUAGUUCAAAUGCUGUAAUAAUAAGUGUAAUUAUCGUCAUAGUGAUACUAAUAUCAAUAUUAAUUGGCAUAAUAUUUUAUUGGAAGUGUAGAAACCGAGCAGAGGAUGUCAGGGAACAGAUCAUUUAUGCAUCCAAUGGAGUACAAUACUUGGAGUUGGAUUUGCGUAUGACUACGGCUCAAGACCGAACUCCCACUACAGAAGAUGUGUUAUAUUCCCAGAUUCGUUUCCGCGAAGAUUGUAAAAGCUAAUCAUACUUAAACUGGAGAAUUUGUCUUAUAAGUAGGCGAUAGGUUAUCAUAAUCUAUCGUACUAAUAUUAAAAUUGCGAAAGUUUGUGAGGAUGUGUGUAUGUAAGUAUGCUGUUGCUGGCAACACAAAGUAAAUUUACUAUUUUUAUAAGGUUGUCAUUGUCACUCAGAAUUUUUUCCGCUAUGGAGUCUGUCGUGUGUAUCCCAAAUAAUAUAAAAUACAUUUAUUCAGAAAUCGUCUUUGGAGUUAAACAAUAAGAUCCUAACACAUGUUUGUUUGCUAACUCUUUCACGCAAAAUCACGGGCAGAAUAUAACUUAGAAUAACAGAUAGGGUACAUACUUUUCAUCCCGAAAUUCCCACCGGAACGAAACCCCGGGGCGCGGCUAGUGAUCUAUAACUAACUAUACAACUCAACUAGCGACCCGACUCGGCAACGCACGGUGCUCUAAUAAGCUAUUUUGAAUAUAUAAAUCUUCGUUAAUAAAUUAUCUAAAUAACAGUGAAAACAAAUAUAUAUCUCUACUCAAUAGGGUAGUUGCCAAGGUCAGAGAAUUGUAAAAAAUAUACCUAAUCUAGAUAAAAUAAAUAUAUUUAGUAUCAUUAUGAUAAUUCAUAGACUGUAACAAUGCAGCUGGAUCUAAAUACGAAGAUUUAAAGUUGGUUGGAAAGAGUCCAUUUUUAAAAAGUAUGAAAUUAUAAAAAACAAAUUUAACCAUGUUCUCAUCUUGUUACAAAACAACAUUUUGUAACAACUUUUAUUAACGAAUAUAUCCCCGUAAACGUAAUAAAUGUAGUUGUGGAACAAACAUAUCCUUCGCGAACAUUAUCGCACGUUGUGACGUCACUUGUUCGUGACAUUUAGUAUGGAGCGUUUCGAGCGAGAUCAGAAAUGUGUGAUUUUAUUUUUUAUUUGAUUUUAAGUAUUGUCAUUAUCACAGUAUUUUUUUCACUGGUGUUUCUAAUGAUAUAAGAGCCUUCGAAUAGUCAUCAAAACAAAAAUUUGGCAACUAGCCUAUUCUAGCCCCAACAGUAUAGGAUCAC
Plodia interpunctella (Indianmeal moth) is the source of this 2527-nucleotide long non-coding RNA. RefSeq lists it as uncharacterized. The transcript has 7 exons. The record is from RefSeq and is a predicted model, not a curated record. Lineage: Eukaryota; Metazoa; Arthropoda; Insecta; Lepidoptera; Pyralidae.